This 460-nucleotide ribosomal RNA is filed under the name uncultured bacterium. RNAcentral describes it as "partial 16S ribosomal RNA". It matches the Rfam family "Bacterial small subunit ribosomal RNA", at positions 338 to 795 of the family's 1533-position model. The record is from RNAcentral.
CCUACGGGAGGCAGCAGUGAGGAAUAUUGGUCAAUGGACGCAAGUCUGAACCAGCCAUGCCGCGUGCAGGAAGACGGCUCUAUGAGUUGUAAACUGCUUUUGUACGAGGGUAAACGCAGAUACGCGUAUCUGUCUGAAAGUACCGUACGAAUAAGGAUCGGCUAAUUCCGUGCCAGCAGCCGCGGUAAUACGGAGGAUUCAAGCGUUAUCCGGAUUUAUUGGGUUUAAAGGGUGCGUAGGCGGUCGGAUAAGUUAGAGGUGAAAUCCCGAGGCUCAACUUCGGAAUUGCCUCUGAUACUGUUAGGCUAGAGAGUAGUUGCGGUAGGCGGAAUGUAUGGUGUAGCGGUGAAAUGCUUAGAGAUCAUACAGAACACCGAUUGCGAAGGCAGCUUACCAAGCUACUUCUGACGUUGAGGCACGAAAGCGUGGGGAGCAAACAGGAUUAGAUACCCCUGUAGUC